Non-coding RNA from Podarcis lilfordi (Lilford's wall lizard), 74 nucleotides. The record is from the annotation of a GenBank genome assembly. NCBI's taxonomy places the organism in Eukaryota, Metazoa, Chordata, Lepidosauria, Squamata, Lacertidae.
GAGGGACCAUAGCUCAGUAACAGAGCCCAUGCUUUGCAUGCAUAUAGACCCAGGUUCUAUUCCUGGUGUCCUCA